RNAcentral lists this ribosomal RNA (245 nucleotides) under Enterobacter cloacae. Its description in RNAcentral is "partial 16S ribosomal RNA". It matches the Rfam family "Bacterial small subunit ribosomal RNA", at positions 1 to 244 of the family's 1533-position model. Lineage: Bacteria; Pseudomonadati; Pseudomonadota; Gammaproteobacteria; Enterobacterales; Enterobacteriaceae. The record is from RNAcentral.
AAAUUGAAGAGUUUGAUCAUGGCUCAGAUUGAACGCUGGCGGCAGGCCUAACACAUGCAAGUCGAACGGUAGCACAGAGAGCUUGCUCUCGGGUGACGAGUGGCGGACGGGUGAGUAAUGUCUGGGAAACUGCCUGAUGGAGGGGGAUAACUACUGGAAACGGUAGCUAAUACCGCAUAACGUCGCAAGACCAAAGAGGGGGACCUUCGGGCCUCUUGCCAUCAGAUGUGCCCAGAUGGGAUUAG